AAAAACGAAACGCCAAAAAGGACCAACAAACUUCUUUAAAUGUGUUAAAAACUCAAAACAGUUAUGCAGUGUUACAUUACAGUUGCCUUUUGCCUACGUCUGAGAUUUACAACAUUCUAAGCAACACCAGCUGCAUCAAGUUAGGCUAAAUCAAACAUUUGGUAAUCUACACAUAUAAGAGAACAUGAUAACUAACUGAGUAUUUAAACCAUGGUUAAUCAUCAGUUCAUGCUUUCCGAAGAUAUAAUAGGAUUCAUAUGAGAUAGAUGGGGAUAAGCAAGAGGGACUCCCUCUUGGUCUUCUUGUGAGGUACAACAGCAUAGCUAAUGGAUUUUGGCACCAAAUAACAGAAGGCGUUCAACCAGAGAGUAAACCAAUUGCAAAUUUUAUCCCUUGUUUCCAGCUUGUUAGAAGCUAUUCAGUAGAUCAGGUCCCUCCAGAGUUAAAAUUGAGGUGACAUUUCUUCCCUCUUUCCUAUUCUCUGCCUAUCAAGCACAGAGCUGGCAUGUACAUAUAGAGUUGGUCAAGUCCAAUCUUAGCAAGUAGUUGAAGGCCAUAGAAUAGAAAGAAGACCACUUACUUGCAAGGUUCUUUAGCCUAUCCUUUUGCUCUCUCUUCUUCCCAUGCAGCUGAGCAGAUUCAAUGUGAUACGAACCUCCGAACCUCCUAUACAUCAAAAUACAAGCCUUGAGAAUAAAUCACAAUGAAAAAUAGAGGCAAAGUAACCAGAAAAAGAGUUUGCAUCAGUAGUUGGAGAAGAACCAAAGGAGUUUAGGGCAGAGCAACAGUAGAAAGAAGAGGGAAAAACAAACAAGAAAUACUAAGUAAAGAAGACGUGAUUAAGU
This 845-nucleotide long non-coding RNA is filed under the name Nicotiana tabacum (common tobacco). Its description in RNAcentral is "long non-coding RNA (NTAB_LNC010836)". Lineage: Eukaryota; Viridiplantae; Streptophyta; Magnoliopsida; Solanales; Solanaceae. The record is from RNAcentral.